CUCACCACCUACCCGAGAAUUAAACGUUGCAUUAAUUGGGUUUCUAUAUUCAUAUGCAACUACCAAACUUUCGUACAUACAAUUCCAUCUAGUCGGCAAGGUUUAGGAACCUUUCUUUCUCUAAGGCCAUAUUCAUCACAUUUUUUGAAAUACUCUCCAAGUCUAGUUCUACGGUUUGAAUAAAAAAGCCAAUUAAGAGUCAUUCGUUCCUUUUCAAUUUCUUUGUUUAAAAUUUGCAUACCAUCACCGAUAAUUAAAUGAUAAAUAUGAC
RNAcentral lists this long non-coding RNA (271 nucleotides) under Nicotiana benthamiana. RNAcentral's name for it is "long non-coding RNA (NBEN_LNC006381)". Lineage: Eukaryota; Viridiplantae; Streptophyta; Magnoliopsida; Solanales; Solanaceae. The record is from RNAcentral.